This 253-nucleotide ribosomal RNA is filed under the name uncultured bacterium. Its description in RNAcentral is "partial 16S ribosomal RNA". It matches the Rfam family "Bacterial small subunit ribosomal RNA", at positions 524 to 776 of the family's 1533-position model. The record is from RNAcentral.
UACAGAGGUCUCAAGCGUUGUUCGGAUUCAUUGGGCGUAAAGGGUGCGCAGGCGGCUAUGUGUGUGAGGCGUGAAAGCCCGGGGCUUAACCCCGGAAUUGCACCUCAAACUACAUGGCUAGAGCAUUGGAGAGGGUAGCGGAAUUCACGGUGUAGCAGUGAAAUGCGUAGAUAUCGUGAGGAACACCAGAGGCGAAGGCGGCUACCUGGACAAUUGCUGACGCUCAGGCACGAAAGCGUGGGGAGCAAACGGG